GAUGAACGCUGGCGGCGUGCCUAAUACAUGCAAGUUGUGCGGUAACAGAGAGAGCUUGCUCUCUGCUGACGAGCGGCGGACGGGCAGAGUAACGCGUAGGAACAUACCCCAAACUGAGGGAUAACUGCUCGAAAGAGUAGCUAAUACCGCAUGUGGUUCUUCGGAUUAAAGCUUCGGCGGUUUGGGAGUGGCCUGCGUCCGAUUAGCUAGUUGGUGAGGUAAUUGCUCACCAAGGCGACGAUCGGUAGCUGGUCUGAGAGGAUGAUCAGCCUGACUGGAACUGAGAACGGUCCAGACUCCUACGGGAGGCAGCAGUAGGGAAUUUUCCACAAUGGGCGAAAGCCUGAUGGAGCAACGCCGCGUGCAGGAUGAAUGCCUUCGGUUGUAAACUGUCUUUCUGUGUGAAGAUAU
Molecule: ribosomal RNA, 411 nt
Filed under: uncultured bacterium
Lineage: Bacteria
Description: bacterial SSU rRNA
Rfam family: Bacterial small subunit ribosomal RNA
Source: RNAcentral